Molecule: unclassified non-coding RNA, 394 nt
Filed under: uncultured fungus
Lineage: Eukaryota; Fungi
Description: partial contains 5.8S ribosomal RNA and internal transcribed spacer 2
Rfam family: 5.8S ribosomal RNA (bases 1-133)
Source: RNAcentral
UGGCUCUCGCAUCGAUGAAGAACGCAGCGAAAUGCGAUAAGUAAUGUGAAUUGCAGAAUUCAGUGAAUCAUCGAAUCUUUGAACGCAUCUUGCGCUCCUUGGUAUUCCGAGGAGCAUGCCUGUUUGAGUGUCAUUAAAUUCUCACCUUUUGCUGGCUUUGCUUUUAUAAGGCUUGACACAAAAGUGUGGAUGUGGAGGAUUAUCUUUGCAGGUUCUUUUGAGAGCCAGCUCCUCUGAAAAGCAUUAGUAGCGCCCUCUGGUGGCUGACUUUUGGCAUGAUAACUAUCACUGUCAUCAGUUGCCACACAUGUAUGUUGGCAAUGCUGCUUAUAACUGUCUAAAUAGACAAGUAAAUGACAAAUUUGGCCUCAAAUCAGGUAGGACUACCCGCUGA